This 72-nucleotide transfer RNA is filed under the name Chloroflexota bacterium. RNAcentral describes it as "Chloroflexi bacterium tRNA-Lys". It matches the Rfam family "tRNA". From Rfam's summary of the family: Transfer RNA (tRNA) molecules are approximately 80 nucleotides in length. Their secondary structure includes four short double-helical elements and three loops (D, anti-codon, and T loops). The record is from RNAcentral. Lineage: Bacteria; Bacillati; Chloroflexota.
GGGGGUGUAGCUCAGUGGAAGAGCAGGGGCCUUUUAAGCCCUUGGCCGGGGGUUCGAAUCCCUCCACCCUCA